AGUCGCUCCAUGCUGCUUCCCUCCAGCUCGACGCGGGUGUCAGCGGCGUUGGGAUUCAGUGUGGCAGCAGGGGGGGAAAAUCUGGGAUAUCUGGGAAAGGGGGAGUCGGUGAAAACCGGGAACUAAACCGGCAGAAAACCCCGUCGAAGGCUCGACCGUCACACCGCGGGGUUUCCUAGCGGGCACGAGGCGCCUCUCUCCCGGCUGCUGGCUGCGCACACCCCCCCCCCCUCCUCCCUCAUCCGCACGGGGGAGUGAAGACCGGAGCAGCAAGACCAAAGAGCCGUGGGAACGGGCCACGCUGAAUGAGGGAACAUUGGAGCCUUUUUGUGUUGCCGCUGUGGCAGAGGACCAGUUGAGGCUGUGGGAAACUGGGAUCUGCCCAGUGCCGAUGGAGUGAGAUGCUCAAGGGCACUAAAGCAGCUGAUGUUGGAGGAGCCUCCUCUUUCCUUUCUUAGAUUUCUUCUUGGUUCCUCUUUUCUCCUCAUGUCUGCUCUCCGCUCCAUGUCACCUCCUCUCACCUCCUUUCACCUCCUCUGCUCUUGUAUCCUCUUACCCUUCCUCUCCAUUUCCUACUUUAUGUCCUAUGUUGUCUCCCCUUUUCAUCUCAUUUCCUCUCACAUUGUCUCUUCGGUUCGCUUUUCUUUUCCUCUCCUGCCCACUUGUCUCCUCUUGACUACUAAUUUCCUCUCUCCUCUGUCCUCGCCGAAGGCGGUAAACCAACGUUUUGUGUUUAUUUUCUCACUCCCUCAUAUUGAAAUAGAGGAGACGGGCGAGUGAGGAAGGAGAGAAAGUGGGACGGAAGAAAACGGUAAUAGACGGAGAAGGAGGAGACGAAGAGGGAGGAAUGUAGGGUGGGAGUGUGAUUGCAUGGUCGCAGAGUGACCGACAGCAGCAAAGUAAGCACCCGCCGCCGCGGACGCGCUGGCUUGCAAGUCUCCAGUUAGCGCCGGCCUCUCGGGUGGAGCGUCACACCGGGGCUC
Gasterosteus aculeatus aculeatus (three-spined stickleback) is the source of this 983-nucleotide long non-coding RNA. The record is from Ensembl. NCBI's taxonomy places the organism in Eukaryota, Metazoa, Chordata, Actinopteri, Perciformes, Gasterosteidae.